RNAcentral lists this unclassified non-coding RNA (233 nucleotides) under Hyaloscyphaceae sp. Its description in RNAcentral is "partial contains small subunit ribosomal RNA, internal transcribed spacer 1, and 5.8S ribosomal RNA". The stretch from base 1 to 46 matches the Rfam family "Eukaryotic small subunit ribosomal RNA", at positions 1786 to 1831 of the family's 1831-position model. The record is from RNAcentral. Lineage: Eukaryota; Fungi; Ascomycota; Leotiomycetes; Helotiales; Hyaloscyphaceae.
AAGUCGUAACAAGGUUUCCGUAGGUGAACCUGCGGAAGGAUCAUUAAAGAAACUUCGCCUCCGGGCGGAGUCCUUCUAAACCCGUGUCUACCUUACCUUUGUUGCUUUGGCAGGCCGCCUUCGGGCGUCGGCUCCGGCUGACAGUGCUUGCUAGAGGACCGAACUCUUUUGUUUAGUGAUGUCUGAGUACUAUAUAAUAGUUAAAACUUUCAACAACGGAUCUCUUGGUUCUG